CAAUAGCGUAUAUUAAUGUUGUUGCAGUUAAAAAGCUCGUAGUUGGAUUUUUGGCAGGAAUGGCCGGUCCGAACCUUCGGGUUUGUGUACUCGCGCUUAUUCUAGUCAUCCUCAUAGAGGUCGUGCAUUGCAUUCGUUUGUAGUGUACGGAAUCUAUGUCGUUUACUGUGAAAAAAUUAGAGUGUUUAAAGCAGGCAAUCGCUGUGAAUACGUUAGCAUGGAAUAAUAGGAUAGGACUUUGGUACUAUUUUGUUGGUUUGCAUACCAAAGUAAUGAUUAAUAGGGACAGUUGGGGGUAUUCGUAUUUAAUUGUCAGAGGUGAAAUUCUUGGAUUUAUGAAAGACGAACUACUGCGAAAGCAUUUACCAAGGAUGUUUUCAUUAA
This 384-nucleotide ribosomal RNA is filed under the name uncultured eukaryote. RNAcentral's name for it is "partial 18S ribosomal RNA". It matches the Rfam family "Eukaryotic small subunit ribosomal RNA", at positions 592 to 976 of the family's 1831-position model. The record is from RNAcentral.